UCCUACGGGAGGCAGCAGUUAGGAAUCUUGCGCAAUGGGCGAAAGCCUGACGCAGCCAUGCCGCGUGAAUGAUGAAGGUCUUAGGAUUGUAAAAUUCUUUCAGCGGGGACGAUAAUGACGGUACCCGCAGAAGAAGCUCCGGCUAACUUCGUGCCAGCAGCCGCGGUAAUACGAAGGGGGCUAGCGUUGCUCGGAAUUACUGGGCGUAAAGGGCGCGUAGGCGGACAUUUAAGUCAGAGGUGAAAGCCCAGGGCUCAACCUUGGAACUGCCUUUGAUACUGGGUGUCUAGAGUGCGGGAGAGGUGUGUGGAACUCCGAGUGUAGAGGUGAAAUUCGUAGAUAUUCGGAAGAACACCAGUGGCGAAGGCGACACACUGGCCCGUAACUGACGCUGAGGCGCGAAAGCGUGGGGAGCAAACAGGAUUAGAUACCCUGGUAGUCCACGCCGUAAACGAUGAGUGCUAGUUGUCGGCAUGCAUGCAUGUCGGUGACGCAGCUAACGCAUUAAGCACUCCGCCUGGGGAGUACGGUCGCAAGAUUAAAACUCAAAGGAAUGAC
This 558-nucleotide ribosomal RNA is filed under the name uncultured bacterium. RNAcentral describes it as "bacterial SSU rRNA". It matches the Rfam family "Bacterial small subunit ribosomal RNA", at positions 337 to 914 of the family's 1533-position model. The record is from RNAcentral.